UUUAGUGUGCGAUCAGCCCAUGGUGGUCCACGACGAGGAAUUUUAACAGGAGUGCAUUCACAUAUAGCAGAUCUCAUGAACUCACAAAAAGCCUCUGUGGCAUCGUCAAUGGUUGAAUAGUCCGAACAGUUAAAAGAAUUGUCAAAAGAUAAAAUCAAUCGCUCCAAUUUUGGAAGGUCAACACGAGCAUAAUUCAGCCUUUUAUCAGCAUCAAUGGCUGUAGCGAUCGUAACUGGGGCUACGUUGUCCAAGUCAAAGUCAAGCGGAGGGUGGUGUUCGUCGAUAGUAGUAAGGGGAUAUUCACAGACACGUAUUGAAGAACAUGUAGAUGCAGCUGGCCAAUUUGCGUAAAUUAGGUCAAGUAUUCGCCCCGAUGAGUUAGUAUUGGAGUUAAGCUGGUAUAGUCCACUCUGAUGCAAACCAUCAACGAACUGGACACUGCGCGCGGAGCGUGCAUGAGGCUCAUAGAAAUCAAAAGCAGCUCCAUUUUCCUCUGAUGCCGAUGUCCAGGAUAGCGUAGAUUGGUUGAAAUCACCAAUAAGCAUGAACCUGUCUCUCGGACCAAGAGUAGUGCUGAUAUUAGCAACGAAGUCGAUCAAUGCACUUAUUUUCUCCUCAUUCAUGCUAUGGUUAGGAGGCAGGUAGGCAGCGGCAAUAAACAAACGGUGGUCGCAUAACUGAAUACAUACGCAAGUGAGUUCUAACAGUUGCGGCAACGUAGGAAGCACAUAAGAGAGAAGAGAAACGUUGCAUGCAAUUAAAACACCACCCCCACGAGAGUGAGAGCUGUUAGUGGCAUCCCGGUCGCAUCGGUAAACACGAUACUCAUCUCCUAGGAGGAGAGCGGUGGGAAUACAGGGAUCGAGCCAAGUUUCAGUGAGUACCAAUACAUCGUAUUCCGUCUCAAGAACCGACAAACGGAACUCAUCGGCUUUAGAACGCAGGCCACGCACAUUCUGAUAGUACACAGUGAUACAAGCCGCUCGAUCAGUGGGUGCUUGUUGCAUAGUGUUAGUAGGCGCUGUGGUGUUGCAAUUGAGCGAGCUUAUCGUAGAAGAUGAGUGUAUUGUGUUUGUUGUCGAAGGAUUUGCUCGAGCCGUAUGCAUAAAAUAUGGGUGCGCUGCUGUAGUGCGGUUACUUCGGAAAAAAUUGAACCAGUGUAGUUUGAAGUGUUUUUGAACGUGACGUGGACGGAAGAGUGGGUGAAGGGAGAGUGCAGUUCAUAUCGGUUGGUGAUUGUUCGGUUUGUGUUCGUGCGGGUUCAUGGAUAUGUGCAGGUGAGUACGGAUUAUUGUGCGGAUUAUUGCGUUGGGUACAAGGCUGCUGUGGUGCCGGUGAGUGCUGAGUGCGAGGCUGUAGUGGUGCCGGUGUCUGCUGAUUACGGGGUUGUUGCGGUAUCGGUGUGUAAGUGUUCGUGUGUUGUGUUCGUGAAUGUAGAGAUCGCGGCGGGAGCGAGAUGAACUCACGCACACCGAGCCCGACCGGCCAGGAGGCUGCGUUGAGUGCCUUACUACGAAGGGCAGCAGGGAUUCUGACCUUGAACGAUACAGCACUCAAUGGGCUAGGAACCGUUCCUGCUUUUAGCAGACUAAAAGCAAUUGCGUCUGCAGUGUCCAACUGCAAACACACCAACGAGACAACUUGCUCUAUGGUGACGGACGCAGCCAACCUUGAAAGAUGCAGCCACAAAUAAUCGGUUCUUGGUGUCUGUGAAACAGUUGGUAUUGAAGCGGAGGUUGUAUUAGUACCUGUGAUUAUUGGUGGUAGUGAAGGACGAUCGAUCCGUGCAUCUGGGAGCAAUUGAUUGCUAUGUUGCAAGGAUGCCGAAUGGGCCGUGGCGAUUCCGGCAAAGCCAUCCCGAAUCUCCUGUAUUACCGGUGGGACCAAGCUAGCCUUCAUGGCAUCAACAGCAGCUGUGAGGGCUGCCUGAAACCCAACCUGCAUACCCAUGCCCUUGAUCGCCUUGCUACGCGGAUUCCCGAUGGCGUUGGUACACCCAAUGCAACUCCAGUGCAGGGAGGCCAUCCGUUUCACUUCGUCGAUGACCGAUACAGGCACCUUAGUGCACGCCAGAUGAUGCCACUGCAGAUGAACGUCGAAGGAGCCACAAAUAAAAUCCAAAUAUAUCGCGAACACGGUGGUUCUCGUCAGGAACACGAUGGCAGGGUCACGAGACUACACUUAUGGACACACUAAAACCCGUGUUGAUUAUAGCAAAACCAGAUUACACCAAUAAAACAGCGGAUAAAUGCGGAGCGAUAGCAGUAGACACGCUAUGUUGACAACUGUCAAAGAC
This is an RNA transcript of Anopheles gambiae (African malaria mosquito), 2296 nucleotides long. RefSeq lists it as uncharacterized. The record is from RefSeq and is a predicted model, not a curated record. The transcript has 3 exons. NCBI's taxonomy places the organism in Eukaryota, Metazoa, Arthropoda, Insecta, Diptera, Culicidae.